GCGGAUGUGGCGGAAUUGGCAGACGCACUAGACUUAGGAUCUAGCGCAUUAGCGUGGGGGUUCGAGUCCCUUCAUCCGCA
RNAcentral lists this transfer RNA (80 nucleotides) under Tissierellia bacterium. RNAcentral's name for it is "tRNA-Leu". It matches the Rfam family "tRNA". Rfam says of the family: Transfer RNA (tRNA) molecules are approximately 80 nucleotides in length. Lineage: Bacteria; Bacillati; Bacillota; Tissierellia. The record is from RNAcentral.